RNAcentral lists this long non-coding RNA (216 nucleotides) under Selaginella moellendorffii. RNAcentral describes it as "long non-coding RNA (SMOE_LNC001255)". Lineage: Eukaryota; Viridiplantae; Streptophyta; Lycopodiopsida; Selaginellales; Selaginellaceae. The record is from RNAcentral.
UCUCUAUGACAUGAUCCUAGAUGGCAGGAGUGCCACUUCACUGAUCCAGGUGUAGGCUAGAGGCAUGUCUCUUCAUCAUGUAUAUAUAUCUUUGAUAUUAUAUACGACUAUCCUUUGGAGUCAUCCACCAUCGUAGCUUCCGCUCUUCUUCUCUUCAUGGUAUCGGAGCCCUGAGGGCUUCAGAUCCAGGGACGAUGGCGCUGGCCGAGGAGGAGG